This 1337-nucleotide long non-coding RNA is filed under the name Lepisosteus oculatus (spotted gar). RNAcentral's name for it is "lncRNA (ENSLOCG00000022711.1)". The record is from RNAcentral. Lineage: Eukaryota; Metazoa; Chordata; Actinopteri; Semionotiformes; Lepisosteidae.
AGUUACAUCGUUUCUAUUGCAACAGCCUCUCAACUCUGGACAUUUCAUAUCACAGUUUCCUCUGUUUCUAGGCACACAGAGGUGUCACUAAAUCACCUGAAAGAUGUUGGAUGUAAGGACCUCAAUAUUGAAAUUCCUAAUGAGGUUUGGGAAGAGGGUUUGAGCAACAUUCACCAGUGGUCUAUUAAUGUUAGACACCAGAUCAUACAAUACAAGGAAGUCCAAGCCUCAGUCCUUCCAGCUCCAUGUUCAGCCUGUCUUGCUCCUCCUUCCCACGCUGCACUGCUCUCCUUGAGAAGCCCACUGGGACCGGGCUCCGCAUUCUCCCCCUCCGGCUCCCAGAACUCCUUGGGACAGAGCUGGGGGCCGUUCCUGAACAGCGUGGGGUCUGGGAGGGGUGAGUCAGGUGAGGCGGAGGGAGGAGAGCGAGCUGGAUAGAUCGGGGUAGGAAGGCUGAGGAAGGGGGAGGCAGCCUCAGUGAGACAACCGCAGCCAUCAGGGGGCAGAGAGAACAAGGCAGUGAGGGUCCAGGGGGAUGAGGCAGCAGGACCGAGGCAGAGCGAGGCAGCACUGGGGAGAAAGAGCCGGACAGGAGGGGUGAGGCAGGGCCAGACUCCUGCAGAGAGAAACUGCGAGGCAGCGGGGGAGGGGAGCGGUCAGGGCGAGAGGGGGGGGGAGCGUGGGGGGUGUGGACAGUCCCCUGGAGUCGCUUAAAGGCAAAUUGGAGGGAAAGGUUGAGAGAGAGAGAAGAGCUCAGGGCAGCAGGGCAGUAGGGAGGGAGGAGAGAGAGCAGAGCCUGAGGGGGAGGUGGACAAGAGACACUGGACUGGACAGGGGGGACCCAGCAGGGGUAGGACUUGUAGAAUGGGGGGACGGCCAUUCUGGGGGUGAGAGAGGAUGAGGCCAAGUGGGCCAAGGGGCAAGAGGGCGCUGGGUUGAGGACAGGGGUGACCCUCCCUCUAAAGUGGACAUAGAGCAAGAGAGUGAAACAGAAAGUCAGUCCUAGAGCACAGGAGACUCAUGCAGCUGCAGAUUACAAUGUCCACCAGCAGGGGGCAAGCUAGAAUCAGGAUUAGUAUAGUCAAUUGUUUUAGACGCAAACAUUAAUACACGGGACUUUCACAUCAAUGCUUUUCUGUCUACAAAAGAUGGAUUAAAAAAAAACAUUUUUGAGAGUCCCAGUUAUUACCUGUGGGUGUCGGUUAUCCCUCCCAAACCACUGUGACCCACUAACUAGACUUGGGCACCUUGAUGAUGGACACCACAGUUAAAACUGGGACUGAACUCUUCUGAAUGUGUUUGAUAGCUGCCAGCAGCAUUGUCAGAGACUGAUCACC